GGAGUAUUCUCCCAUACAUGAAAAUCUUAAACGACUCCUGUGACUUCUCUUACAGUGAACAUCUGAUACUGCUGGUUUUUAAGAAAAAAAUUUUAAAUUAAUGUUGAGGUAGGACAGGCAUGGAGGUCUAAAGACACGUGGCGAAAUACACAGUGCUUCUGAAAUCUGCUGAUGAAUGAAAGGUGGUGUGAACCACAGCCUACAAGCUGCAGAAUGUCUAGAGACUGAGCCAGCGAGGGCGGCAGUGCAGCCAAACUUGGAGUGCAGAGCCUUGUUCCUCAUGCCCUGACAACAGGACUUUCAAGUUCUGCACUGGAAAUUUGCAUCCCCAGGCUUGGAUAUGUCUCUGACCCAAGAGAGGUGCUCAGAGGAGAGAAGGAAGCUUAAUGAGAUUAAUGCCUAGUCUGGUAAGUCUCCAUGUGACUCCUUGUGUUGACCCCAACCUAGUUAUUGCUGUGAAGGAACAAGCUUUGUAUGAUCA
This 481-nucleotide long non-coding RNA is filed under the name Chloebia gouldiae (Gouldian finch). RNAcentral describes it as "Erythrura gouldiae (Gouldian finch) lncRNA (ENSEGOG00005006001.1)". Lineage: Eukaryota; Metazoa; Chordata; Aves; Passeriformes; Passeridae. The record is from RNAcentral.